AGUGAACGCUGGCGGUAGGCCUAACACAUGCAAGUCGAACGGCAGCACAGUAAGAGCUUGCUCUUACGGGUGGCGAGUGGCGGACGGGUGAGGAAUACAUCGGCAUCUACUUUUUCGUGGGGGAUAACGUAGGGACACUUACGCUAAUACCGCAUACGAUCUACGGGAGAAAGCAAGGGAUCUUCGGACCUUUCGCGUUUGAAUGAGCCGAUGUCGGACUAGAUUGUAGGCGUGGUAAGGUCAAGGCCCACCAAGGCGACGAUGCGUAGCCGGUCUGAGAGGAUGAUCAGCCACACUGGAACUGAGACACGGUCCAGACUCCUACGGGAGGCAGCAGUGGGGAAUAUUGGACAAUGGGCGCAAGCCUGAUCCAGCCAUACCGCGUGGGUGAAGAAGGUCUUCGGGUUGUAAAGCCCUUUUAUUGGGAAAGAAAAGCAGCAGAUUAAUACCCCGCUGUUCUGACGGUACCCAAAGAAUAAGCACCGGCUAACUUCGUG
Molecule: ribosomal RNA, 497 nt
Filed under: uncultured bacterium
Lineage: Bacteria
Description: partial 16S ribosomal RNA
Rfam family: Bacterial small subunit ribosomal RNA
Source: RNAcentral